CCUUGGGCUAACGUAGGCACUCUCGCAGUUCCUCCGCCUUCAGGAAGGUCUUUUUAGCAGGGGCCUUACGGGUGCAUGCUUCGGUCCUGGAGGACUUAGGCUAGCCUCCUCUCCAUCAGCGCCACCCGUCUGGGGCCCGAAAGGAGGGAGCUUUCCCUCUGUCCCCCAGCCUUUGGACUGUCACCAAACAAGCCAUUCGUUCACCAAAUACUUUUUAAGCGCCUACCAUGUGCCUGACAAGGGAUAUGUAACGGUGAGAAAAACUAGGUGUGGUCCAGGCCCUUCAGGGACUCAGGGGCUCGUGGAAGAAGUGGAUAUUGAAGUACUUAUCACACAAAGGAGGAUAAAAGUACGAUAGCGAUAUCUACCACGAAGAAACUCCUAGAGGGCAGAGGCAUGCCUGCCAUCUUCAUCAUUGCAUUACCAUCACCCAACACUAUCAGGGGACCUGCCCUGAUAAUCAGUCUACAGUUGUAUCCAGCAGCUCCAGAGAGACAGCGACCAGCAAGAAGGGGCCAUGAUGAUGGUGGUGGUUUUUUCAAAACGAAAAGGGGGAUAUGUAGGGAAAAGAAAGAGAGAUCAGACUCUUACAGACUCUUACUGUGUCUACAUAGAAAGGGAAGACAUAAGAGACUCCAUUUGGAAAAAGACCUGUACUUUAAACAAUUGCUUUGCUGAGAUGUUGUUAAUCUGUAGCUUUGCCCCAGCCACUUUGCCCCAACCACUUUGACCCAGUCUGGAGCUCACAAAAACAUGUGUUGUAUGAAAUCAAGGUUUAAGGCAUGUAGGGCUGUGCAGGAUGUGCCUUGUUAACCAAAUGUUUGCAAGCAGUAUACUUGGUAAAAGUCAUCACCAUUCUCUUGUCUCAAUAAACCAGGGGCACAAUGCACUGUGGAAAGCCGCAGGGACCUCUGCCCUUGAAAGCUGGGUAUUAUUCAAAGUUUCCCCCCAUGUGAUAGUCUGAAAUAUGGCCUCGUGGGAUGAGAAAGGCCUGACGGUCCCCUAGCCCGACACCCAUAAAAGGUCUGUGCUGAGGUGGAUUAGUCAAAGAGGAAAGACUCUUGCAUUUGAGAUAGAGGAAGGCCACUGUCUCCUGCCUGCCCCUGGGAACUGAAUGUCUCGGUAUAAAACACGAUUGUACAUUUGUUCAAUUCUGAGAUGGGAGAAAAACCGCCCUAUGGUGGGAGGUGAGACAUGUUUACAGCAAUACUGCCUUGAUAUUCUUUACUCCACUGAGAUGUUUGGGUGGAGAGAAACAUAAAUCUGGCUUACAUGCACGUUCAGUCAUAGUACCUUCCCUUGAACUUCAUUAUGACAUAGAUUCUAUUGCUCACAUGUUUGUUGCUGACCUUCUUAUUAUCACCCUGCCCUCCUACUACAUUCCUUUUUGCUGAAAUAAUAAAGAUAGUAUUCAAUAAAAACUGAGGGAACUCAGAGACCGGUGCCAGUGCAGGUCCUUGGUAUGCUAAGCGCCGGUACCCUGGGCCCACUGUUGUUUCUCUAUACUUUGUUUCUGUGUCUGAUUUCUUUUCUGUCUCUCAUCCCACCCAACAAGAAAUACCCACAGGUGUGGAGGGGCAGGCCACCCCUUCAGUAUGAG
Molecule: long non-coding RNA, 1600 nt
Filed under: Homo sapiens (human)
Lineage: Eukaryota; Metazoa; Chordata; Mammalia; Primates; Hominidae
Description: HSALNT0068899
Source: RNAcentral